Molecule: transfer RNA, 77 nt
Filed under: Rhodobiaceae bacterium
Lineage: Bacteria; Pseudomonadati; Pseudomonadota; Alphaproteobacteria; Hyphomicrobiales; Rhodobiaceae
Description: tRNA-Met
Rfam family: tRNA
About the family: Transfer RNA (tRNA) molecules are approximately 80 nucleotides in length. Their secondary structure includes four short double-helical elements and three loops (D, anti-codon, and T loops).
Source: RNAcentral
CGCGGGGUGGAGCAGCCCGGUAGCACGUCAGGCUCAUAACCUGAAGGUCGUAGGUUGAAAUCCUACCCCCGCAACCA